UUUUUGUUUGUUUGUUUGUUUGUUUGUUUGUUUGUUUUUUGGGGGGUUUUUUGGGUUUUUGUAUGUCCUGGGGACAGACCACGUAGUGGACUUUACCAAAUAAAACUGGAAAACACUCUUUAAUUCUUGAAGAACGGUGUUGCUUUAAAGUACGUAUUUUCGUCCCAAAUUGUCGUUCUUUCAAGUUAUGUAAAUCGUUUUUCACGCUACGAGAACAUAGAAUUGGGGUUUUUUCAUCUCUGUGCCACCCUAAUUCUCAGCUGCUGAUGAAUAUAAAUUCAUAUGUGAUACCUAAUUUUAUCACUUUAUCAAACAGUGAACUAACUUAAGAUUCAGUAUGGACAGGAUAGUUUUUUGAGUUCACAUCAAUCAAGACAUCACUUUCUUUCAAAUUUUUCCAGAACCAAGAAGAAAGACAAGAGAAAGAAAUUUACAUGCUCCAUAGUCAUUCAUCCCAGAGGAUGGAAAGAUGAAAUUAAUAUCUUAAAAACACUACAUACAAAGCAGAGGAUAUGAGUCCUUGGAAGACAUGAAAGAUCAACUGAACCUGGAAGAUCAACUUGGUAGAACCAGGAGGCACAGAUGCUACUAAGCAGCCUAGAGUUCCUGAUUAACAUCUGACAUUUAAAAUGCUUUCAGCUUAGAAGAAGCCACAGAAACUUACAGGUGUGGAGGAAAGCUCCCUUGCUCUCUCUUUUCUUUUCUCACUUCCUCUUCAGGUGGGUGAAGAAUUGUGGUCCCUUGAACUGACAAAAAAGGGUAUUUCUGUCUGAUAUGAAGAAGACACGAAGCAGCAACUGAAGAGAGCCUUCCUAAUUUCAUCUUUGACAGAAAAUAUAAUUCUGAACUUUAUAAACACCAGGGUUGUGACAUGUGGGUGGACAAAGACAAGAUAAAAUUAUCUGACAACAAAUGCUUUUGGAGGGCAUAAAAGUGGCAUUUGGCCAUGCAGAUGAUGGACCCCUGUGAUGUAUGUUGUGAUCUAAUUUGUGUUCAUUCCAAGCAGUACAUCACUAACACUGGAUCCAGCAGGCCUUCCAAAACAGUGGCAGCUACAAGCACAAUUUCUCAGUGUUCUUCCAGUGAGCUAAGCUGUCUCAGAUUUUAAGGAGAUCUUUGUUGGUCAAUACAAUUUAUUUUGCUUUCCCAAAUGUUAAAACAACAAUGUAGUGUGUUCCGCUGAUACAAUUAAUUUCAAAUAGUUUAUUAUAUAAAGAAUAAUACAGAGCAAUAGCAUUCCUAAGCAUGGAAGGAACUUUGCUUUUUUACUUACAAAAUUAUAAAUUGUACCAACUUUUAAUUAAAGCUCAAAAGAGUGUGGAAAUAUUCAAAAUUCAAAAUCCUUACCAUUAAAAAUUAGUAUUCCCCUUCUUAUUAUUACUGAAAAAAGAGUAUGCUCUCUCAAAGAGAGAAUUUUCAAAGAGUAGUCUUAUUUUCAUGAUUUUUAGAAAUCACACCUUUUCUCUUUGAUUUUAUUUUAAUUGCAUUUUUCAAGAUCUGGACAACAUCUUUUGUCACUCCAGUGAAUUCCUUCCUCUUUUGAAGGAAACGUGAAGAUUUCCUUUCCUUCAAAACAGGAAAUUGUAUGCCAUUGUGACAAAAACUUGGUUUGAAUCCUCACCGAGCAUGAGAGAGUUAUUUCCCCACCAGAUGUAUUUCUAUCUUCAAACCAUGCAGUAGUGAUGUCCUCUCACUCCCGGUAAGAGAAAUUUGAGUGACUAUAGAGGACAUUCUUCUGCACUGCUGGUGGCUUUGGCUGCUAGUCAAAUACCAUGGAGUGUUUAUUCAAAAUCUGGUUUUGCACCUUCCCCUUUUAACAACGACUUUCACCCUCUUGAACCCCAUCCAAGGAGGAGCCGUGUGGGUUCUGUCAGUCCAUCAAGCAACAGAACCAGCCCAAGUAGCUUCCAGCCUGAGCACCCCUUAUCCAUGGUGGCAAAAUCCAGUCUUUUCUGAAGUGGUCUCUGCAUAGCAACACUAGAUGGAGACUUAAGACAUAAGCACCUGGGUUUAUUUAAUUCAAGGGGGUUAAUUAUGAUGAGUUUUUCUACUUGUGGGAAGUACUUAGAUCUACAUGUAUUGUACAACAUGUUUUUAUAAUUUAAAGUUUUCUGCUUGCCAUCCAUUUUGAGUGAAGUGUUUGAAGGCAGGUGUUUUCUUCCUUCAUCUCAGCUCCAUGGCUGGCCUCCUGGAGAGGGACAGUAGGGAAUGUGGGCUGCCUCCCACAUCUGGCAGGGAUAUGGAGCAGGAACAAAGCGGUGAGAUACAGCUGAUCUGCCCAAAAGAGUUUGGGUUUUGUUUUUGGGUGAGCCUUUCAAGGUACAGGCCUGAUCACUGACCUUCAAAAAGAGCAGUCCAACUCCUCAGAGGCAGGGGAGGAGCUAAUCUUACCAAGUGUAAGAAGAUGGGGAGCUGUAUCCUUCUGGUAGGUUGGUGGAGAGAAGAGAUAAACUGGUGGUUUUCAUGAGUUUGGAAGGAGGUGGGAAAGGAUGUGGGAGGAUUGGUUUCUUUUUUUUUUUUUUUUGUCUUUUGUAUGGAGAGGAAACUUGUAUUUGUCUUCUUGAGGAGGUGCAGAGGAAGGAAAGAAAUGAGUAUAUUUUUUUGGUUAUGUAUGAAGAGAUGAAGAGAACAAUUGUGCCCUGUAAGCACUGGUUGGAAAGAACAUUCAAUAAAGUAAUUCCUUUCUUGCCCUGCAGAUCCAGGGGGUGCUUAUGAGGCUGUGUUGUUGCUAGCACAUAUUUGCCUACCAUCCCAGGGCUUAGAAUUCCCUAGAGGCAGCAGCACUGCUGAGAUAGAUAUAGACAGACUGAAAGACAUCAUUUUACCAGGCUAUUCCACAUUGAAGGGUUCACCAAACCCUGCAUACAGAAAUGGUGUGGGAAGUAUCCAGUCAUAGGGAUUCUCACAGAAUCUAGAAAAUUGACAUUCCAUGAAUCCUGGCAAUCCACGUAGUCAACAAGCUGAGUGCACAGUCCUUCACAACACAGCAUGUGUGCAGGUUGGUUGGGUAUGGACACUUCAUCCAAGAUAAAAAAAAACCAGCAAUGCCUGAAAUAAACACAAGUUCU
Molecule: long non-coding RNA, 3068 nt
Organism: Passer domesticus (house sparrow)
Lineage: Eukaryota; Metazoa; Chordata; Aves; Passeriformes; Passeridae
Exons: 4
Source: RefSeq, a predicted model, not a curated record